AGAACGAACGCUGGCGGCAUGCCUAAUACAUGCAAGUCGAACGAACUCUUCGGAGUUAGUGGCGCACGGGUGCGUAACGCGUGGGAAUCUGCCCCUUGGUUCGGAAUAACAGUUGGAAACGACUGCUAAUACCGGAUGAUGACGAAAGUCCAAAGAUUUAUCGCCCAGAGAUGAGCCCGCGUAGGAUUAGCUAGUUGGUGAGGUAAAGGCUCACCAAGGCGACGAUCCUUAGCUGGUCUGAGAGGAUGAUCAGCCACACUGGGACUGAGACACGGCCCAGACCUCCUACGGGAGGCAGCAGUAGGGAAUAGUUGGGAACAAGUGGGCGAAAGCCUAGGAUCCAGCAAGUGCCGCGUGAGUGAUGAAGGCUUAGGGUUAGUAAGCUUCUUUACCGAGUAUGAUAAUGACAGUA
Molecule: ribosomal RNA, 412 nt
Filed under: uncultured soil bacterium
Lineage: Bacteria
Description: bacterial SSU rRNA
Rfam family: Bacterial small subunit ribosomal RNA
Source: RNAcentral